RNAcentral lists this ribosomal RNA (459 nucleotides) under uncultured bacterium. Its description in RNAcentral is "bacterial SSU rRNA". It matches the Rfam family "Bacterial small subunit ribosomal RNA", at positions 335 to 785 of the family's 1533-position model. The record is from RNAcentral.
ACUCCUACGGGAGGCAGCAGUGGGGAAUAUUGCACAAUGGGCGCAAGCCUGAUGCAGCCAUGCCGCGUGUGUGAAGAAGGCCUUCGGGUUGUAAAGCACUUUCAGUUGUGAGGAAGGUGGUGUCGUUAAUAGCGGCAUCAUUUGACGUUAGCAACAGAAGAAGCACCGGCUAACUCCGUGCCAGCAGCCGCGGUAAUACGGAGGGUGCGAGCGUUAAUCGGAAUUACUGGGCGUAAAGCGCAUGCAGGUGGUUUGUUAAGUCAGAUGUGAAAGCCCGGGGCUCAACCUCGGAACUGCAUUUGAAACUGGCAGACUAGAGUACUGUAGAGGGGGGUAGAAUUUCAGGUGUAGCGGUGAAAUGCGUAGAGAUCUGAAGGAAUACCGGUGGCGAAGGCGGCCCCCUGGACAGAUACUGACACUCAGAUGCGAAAGCGUGGGGAAGCAAACAGGAUUAGAUAA